Molecule: unclassified non-coding RNA, 252 nt
Filed under: Hevea brasiliensis (rubber tree)
Lineage: Eukaryota; Viridiplantae; Streptophyta; Magnoliopsida; Malpighiales; Euphorbiaceae
Source: RNAcentral
AUUGGCCAGUAUCAGGAAUAAAAAUAUUCCACUUGAUAGAAUGCAUUUCGUGACUUACCGCAACAACCUCAAUAAGAUAAUGGCUACUGCUUAUCUCAGGAAUGAACCUUGGGAAAUGGGAGUGCACAAAAGAAAGGGGGUUGUGUAUCUUGACGUACAUAAACUGCCAGAACGGCCACAGAGUGUGCUGGACCGGAGAAGGUGUUACUGGGGAUAUUGUUUCGAGAGCCUUGCAACAGAAGAUCCUAGGCG